CACGGAGGCCUCAAGCGUUGUUCGGAAUUACUGGGCGUAAAGGGUGCGUAGGCGGCGAGGUAAGUCAGAUGUGAAAGCCCGGGGCUCAACCCCGGAAUGGCAUCCGAUACUGCCUUGCUUGAGGAUUGGAGAGGAGACUGGAAUUCACGGUGUAGCAGUGAAAUGCGUGGAUAUCGUGAGGAAGGCCAAUGGCGAAGGCAGGUCUCUGGACAAUUCCUGACGCUGAUGCACGAAGGCCAGGGGAGCAAAAAGG
Molecule: ribosomal RNA, 253 nt
Filed under: uncultured bacterium
Lineage: Bacteria
Description: partial 16S ribosomal RNA
Rfam family: Bacterial small subunit ribosomal RNA
Source: RNAcentral